Molecule: ribosomal RNA, 1404 nt
Filed under: Enterococcus thailandicus
Lineage: Bacteria; Bacillati; Bacillota; Bacilli; Lactobacillales; Enterococcaceae
Description: bacterial SSU rRNA
Rfam family: Bacterial small subunit ribosomal RNA
Source: RNAcentral
CAGUCGUACGCUUUUUCUUUCCCGGAGCUUGCUCCACCGAAAGAAAAGGAGUGGCGAACGGGUGAGUAACACGUGGGUAACCUGCCCAUCAGAAGGGGAUAACACUUGGAAACAGGUGCUAAUACCGUAUAACAAUCGAAACCGCAUGGUUUUGAUUUGAAAGGCGCUUUCGGGUGUCGCUGAUGGAUGGACCCGCGGUGCAUUAGCUAGUUGGUGAGGUAACGGCUCACCAAGGCCACGAUGCAUAGCCGACCUGAGAGGGUGAUCGGCCACAUUGGGACUGAGACACGGCCCAAACUCCUACGGGAGGCAGCAGUAGGGAAUCUUCGGCAAUGGACGAAAGUCUGACCGAGCAACGCCGCGUGAGUGAAGAAGGUUUUCGGAUCGUAAAACUCUGUUGUUAGAGAAGAACAAGGAUGAGAGUAACUGUUCAUCCCUUGACGGUAUCUAACCAGAAAGCCACGGCUAACUACGUGCCAGCAGCCGCGGUAAUACGUAGGUGGCAAGCGUUGUCCGGAUUUAUUGGGCGUAAAGCGAGCGCAGGCGGUUUCUUAAGUCUGAUGUGAAAGCCCCCGGCUCAACCGGGGAGGGUCAUUGGAAACUGGGAGACUUGAGUGCAGAAGAGGAGAGUGGAAUUCCAUGUGUAGCGGUGAAAUGCGUAGAUAUAUGGAGGAACACCAGUGGCGAAGGCGACUCUCUGGUCUGUAACUGACGCUGAGGCUCGAAAGCGUGGGGAGCAAACAGGAUUAGAUACCCUGGUAGUCCACGCCGUAAACGAUGAGUGCUAAGUGUUGGAGGGUUUCCGCCCUUCAGUGCUGCAGCUAACGCAUUAAGCACUCCGCCUGGGGAGUACGACCGCAAGGUUGAAACUCAAAGGAAUUGACGGGGGCCCGCACAAGCGGUGGAGCAUGUGGUUUAAUUCGAAGCAACGCGAAGAACCUUACCAGGUCUUGACAUCCUUUGACCACUCUAGAGAUAGAGCUUCCCCUUCGGGGGCAAAGUGACAGGUGGUGCAUGGUUGUCGUCAGCUCGUGUCGUGAGAUGUUGGGUUAAGUCCCGCAACGAGCGCAACCCUUAUUGUUAGUUGCCAUCAUUUAGUUGGGCACUCUAGCAAGACUGCCGGUGACAAACCGGAGGAAGGUGGGGAUGACGUCAAAUCAUCAUGCCCCUUAUGACCUGGGCUACACACGUGCUACAAUGGGAAGUACAACGAGUCGCGAAGUCGCGAGGCUAAGCUAAUCUCUUAAAGCUUCUCUCAGUUCGGAUUGUAGGCUGCAACUCGCCUACAUGAAGCCGGAAUCGCUAGUAAUCGCGGAUCAGCACGCCGCGGUGAAUACGUUCCCGGGCCUUGUACACACCGCCCGUCACACCACGAAAGUUUGUAACACCCGAAGUCGGUGAGGU